This 26-nucleotide small RNA is filed under the name Bombyx mori (domestic silkworm). RNAcentral describes it as "ovarian small RNA-11401". The record is from RNAcentral. Lineage: Eukaryota; Metazoa; Arthropoda; Insecta; Lepidoptera; Bombycidae.
ACGAACCUGCUCCUGCACAAUAGGUA